RNAcentral lists this ribosomal RNA (245 nucleotides) under Rahavavy fanivelona. RNAcentral's name for it is "partial 28S ribosomal RNA". It matches the Rfam family "Eukaryotic large subunit ribosomal RNA", at positions 921 to 1162 of the family's 3401-position model. The record is from RNAcentral. Lineage: Eukaryota; Metazoa; Arthropoda; Arachnida; Araneae; Phyxelididae.
GGGCGAAAGACUAAUCGAACCAUCUAGUAGCUGGUUCCCUCCGAAGUUUCCCUCAGGAUAGCUGGCGCUCGAAAUCAGUCUCAUCCGGUAAAGCGAAUGAUUAGAGGCCUUGGGGCCGAAACGACCUCAACCUAUUCUCAAACUUUAAAUGGGUGAGAAGUCCGCCUUGCUCGACUCGAAGGCCGGACGACUCGGAUGAGAGUGCCCAGUGGGCCACUUUUGGUAAGCAGAACUGGCGCUGUGGG